Molecule: ribosomal RNA, 253 nt
Filed under: uncultured bacterium
Lineage: Bacteria
Description: partial 16S ribosomal RNA
Rfam family: Bacterial small subunit ribosomal RNA
Source: RNAcentral
UACGUAGGUGGCUAGCGUUGUCCGGAAUCAUUGGGCGUAAAGCGCGUGUAGGCGGCCCUUUAAGUCUGAUGUGAAAGUCGGGGGCUCAACCCUCGGAUGCCGGUGGAUACUGUCGGGCUAGAGUACGGAAGAGGCGAGUGGAAUUCCUGGUGUAGCGGUGAAAUGCGCAGAUAUCAGGAGGAACACCAAUUGCGAAGGCAGCUCGCUGGGACGUCACUGACGCUGAGACGCGAAAGCGUGGGGAGCAAACGGG